RNAcentral lists this ribosomal RNA (253 nucleotides) under uncultured bacterium. RNAcentral describes it as "partial 16S ribosomal RNA". It matches the Rfam family "Bacterial small subunit ribosomal RNA", at positions 524 to 776 of the family's 1533-position model. The record is from RNAcentral.
GACGAACCACACAAACGUUAUUCGGAAUUACUGGGCUUAAAGGGUGCGUAGGCGGCGCGGAAAGUAGGGUGUGAAAUCCCUCGGCUCAACCGAGGAAUUGCGCCCUAAACUACCGUGCUCGAGGGAGAUAGAGGUGAGCGGAACUUAGGGUGGAGCGGUGAAAUGCGUUGAUAUCCUAAGGAACACCGGUGGCGAAAGCGGCUCACUGGAUCUCUUCUGACGCUGAGGCGCGAAAGCCAGGGGAGCAAACGGG